Molecule: ribosomal RNA, 459 nt
Filed under: uncultured bacterium
Lineage: Bacteria
Description: partial 16S ribosomal RNA
Rfam family: Bacterial small subunit ribosomal RNA
Source: RNAcentral
CCUACGGGUGGCAGCAGUGAGGAAUAUUGGUCAAUGGUCGGAAGACUGAACCAGCCAAGCAGCGUGCGGGAUGAAGGUCCAGCGUAUCGUAAACCUCUUUUGUCAGGGAACAAAGGCGGGGACGUGUCCCCGGAUGAGUGUACCUGAAGAAAAAGCAUCGGCUAACUCGGUGCCAGCAGCCGCGGUAAUAGGGAGGAUGCGAGCGUUUUCCGGGUUUAUGGGGUUUAAAGGGGGCGCAGGCGGUCUGUUAAGUCAGCGGUCAAAGCCCGGGGCUCACCCCCGGCCCGCCGUUGAAACUGGCAGUCUCGAGUUGGCGAGAAGUAUGCGGAAUGCGCGGUGUAGCGGUGAAAUGCAUAGAUAUCGCGCAGAACUCCGAUUGCGAAGGCAGGAGGCCGGCGCCACACUGACGCUGAGGCACGAAAGCGUGGGUAUCGAACAGGAUUAGAUACCCCAGUAGUC